Molecule: ribosomal RNA, 867 nt
Filed under: uncultured archaeon
Lineage: Archaea
Description: bacterial SSU rRNA
Rfam family: Archaeal small subunit ribosomal RNA
Source: RNAcentral
CUCCGGUUGAUCCCGCCGGACCCGACUGCUAUCAGAGUGGGACUGAGCCAUGCGAGUCGACGUAGCAAUGCGUGGCGAACGGCUCAGUAACACGUAGUCAACAUGCCCAGGGGACGUGGAUAACCUCGGGAAACUGAGAAUAAACCACGAUAGGUCACGAUUUCUGGAAUGGAUCAUGGCCUAAAUCUACAUGGCCCCUGGAUUGGACUGCGGCCGAUCAGGCUGUUGGUGAGGUAAUGGCCCACCAAACCUAUAACCGGUACGGGCUCUGAGAGGAGAAGCCCGGAGAUGGGCACUGAGACAAGGACCCAGGCCCUAUGGGGCGCAGCAGGCGCGAAACCUCUGCAAUAGGCGAAAGCCUGACAGGGUUACUCUGAGUGAUUUCCGCUAAGGGGAUCUUUUGGCACCUCUAAAAAUGGUGCAGAAUAAGGGGUGGGCAAGUCUGGUGUCAGCCGCCGCGGUAAUACCAGCACCCCGAGUGGUCGGGACGAUUAUUGGGCCUAAAGCAUCCGUAGCCGGUUCUGCAAGUCUUCCGUUAAAUCCAGCCGCUCAACGGAUGGGCCGCGGAGGAUACUACAGGACUAGGAGGCGGGAGAGGCAAGCGGUACUCAGUGGGUAGGGGUAAAAUCCUUUGAUCCAUUGAAGACCACCAGUGGCGAAGGCGGCUUGCCAGAACGCGCUCGACGGUGAGGGAUGAAAGCUGGGGGAGCAAACCGGAUUAGAUACCCGGGUAGUCCCAGCUGUAAACGAUGCAGACUCGGUGAUGGGCUAGCCUUGUGCCAGCCCAGUGCCGCAGGGAAGCCGUUAAGUCUGCCGCCUGGGGAGUACGGUCGCAAGACUGAAACUUAAAGAAUUGGCGGGGGAGCA